UUAGCAGCUCGGCACACUAGUAGCCAAUUUAGCGUUUGCUGCAACGUGCGCUUCUGCGGUCCUUUGGGUCUGUACGCAUGUGGACGAAGGGUGGCUGUAGCAGUUGGAAGAACAUAGAAGUGAUCAGAAGUAACAACUAGUUGCAAUACUCUUCGUUUCCAGCUUCGCUGCCGGGAAGAGCUCAGCAGGUGGCAGACUGCUGGAAGGUAUCACAACCGGUGCAGAUGUGUGAAAACGUUUCUGGUACCCCUCCAGAUGUUCGGAGCCUAGCCAUCAAGCCGCGACGGUUCACUUUACUGAGUUACAAUAAUCUUCAAGCCGGUACGGAGACAAGCUGCGGCCUGGACAACCGGGGUUCCAUUCCCGGCAGGGUGAGCUCUUACUUUCUGUUUGGCAACUGCCCUGCGUUUCUUCUUCUUGGCUGAGAGAGACAAGACGAAGGUGAAUUAAAACGAAGACAAUUAAUUGUGGGUUUUGGCCUACAUCAGGCACAGCAAUAUAAUUGUUUUCAUUGGAAGUCACACAUUCUGCCAGAACCACUGACAGCAGGAUCAAAAUAUGAUGAACUACAGCCAACACUGAGUAUAAUGCAUAACACUGUACUCGAAGAGAACACACCAAAACACAAAUAAUUUGUUAUUAAUAGUAUAGGUGCUGCUUCUGUAUAAAUAUAUGGUAUAAAGUUAACACCACUUCCAUUUUUAUCCUCAGAACAAAAUGGAAAGCAUUUAUUAUAUGAAUGCUUAACUUUGUCUGAAAAGGAGUUAUAUAUAAUCAAAAAGAGAUCAAGCCCACUGAAAUCAAUAGUGAACUGAAAAUAUUAAUACAGGAAUCCUGUUUGUUAUAGGCUGCCCGAUUCCACAGGAAGCAAUUCCUUAUUAAAAGAAAAAAAGAUUGCUUACUUAGUCAUAUCUAUUAUGUGCCUUAAGUUUGUCCAAUAUUUGACAAUUUGUUACUAUGGUAACCCACACUUGCAUAAUUUCUUAAAAUCUUAAUUUCCACUCACUGUUACAAAAUGAGAAAUUAUAUCAAAAAGCAAAGAUCAAAUUUCACAUAAUACUCUACAGACAGCAGGCCUUCAACCUACUGGUUUCAGAAAUCCAGACUAAUUAGCAGAUUCAUCGCUAUCACAGACUCCAAAUUAAAAUAAAACUUUUGGAGUAUACUAAUGUAAGAUACAGAACAGCAAAUUUAAAACUGUUACCUUUGUAAAAGAAUUAAAAUAGAUAUUCUGGUAGUUUUAAUACAUCUACACAUACUGAAUGCACCUAUGGUAUCAAAGUUCUGUGCUAAAAGUGGUCCAAUAACAGAAAAAAUACAGCAAUUAACAGUCACUUUUAAUAAUAUCCAUAUACUAAAAUAAAAAUUAUAACAAAAAUUCACCCCAAGAAGGUAUUUGUUGUCAUGUCUUUCCUCAGUACAUCACUUAAAAUAUCAACUGGCAGACUACAGCAUACUGACAUGAUCCUACCUUUAAAGUAAGACUGUAAAAAAGCUGAAAACGAAACAAAACAACAGUGAUGUUGAACUCAUUGAGAAUAAUAAUGGAUUUUGGGUGUGCAUUCUUUUUCUAGUCAGGCCCCUAAAACCGUUUUGAUUCUCUUGUCAUGCCAUUUUCUAGAAAGUGUGCUCAUACUUUUUCUGAGAGAUGACUGAAUUCCAUAAAAGAAAUAAAUUACUUUAUAUACUGUACUGUUAAAAAAAGGUAAAGCUAUCCCUGUUAACAGGCCGUGGGG
Long non-coding RNA from Cryptotermes secundus, 1736 nucleotides. RefSeq lists it as uncharacterized. Lineage: Eukaryota; Metazoa; Arthropoda; Insecta; Blattodea; Kalotermitidae. The transcript is spliced from 4 exons. The record is from RefSeq and is a predicted model, not a curated record.